RNAcentral lists this ribosomal RNA (467 nucleotides) under uncultured bacterium. RNAcentral's name for it is "partial 16S ribosomal RNA". It matches the Rfam family "Bacterial small subunit ribosomal RNA", at positions 28 to 507 of the family's 1533-position model. The record is from RNAcentral.
GACGAACGCUGGCGGCGUGCUUAACACAUGCAAGUCGAACGGAAAGGCCCUGCUUUUGUGGGGUGCUCGAGUGGCGAACGGGUGAGUAACACGUGAGUAAACUGCCCUUGACUUUGGGAUAACUUCAGGAAACUGGGGCUAAUACCGGAUAGGAGCUCCUGCUGCAUGGUGGGGGUUGGAAAGUUCGGCGGGUGGGGAUGGACGCGCGGCUUAUCAGCUUGGUGGUGGGGUAGUGGCUUACCAAGGGUUUGACGGGGAGCCGGCCUGAGAGGGUGACCGGCCACCUUGGGACUGAGAUACGGCCCAGACUCCUACGGGAGGCAGCAGUGGGGAAUAUUGCACAAUGGGCGGACGCCUGAUGCAGCAACGCCGCGUGCGUGAUGCCGGCCUUCGGGUUGUAAACCGCUUUCGCCUGUGACGAAGCGUGAGUGACGGUAAUGGGUAAAGAAGCACCGGCUAACUACGUG